Long non-coding RNA from Sarcophilus harrisii (Tasmanian devil), 891 nucleotides. RefSeq lists it as uncharacterized. The transcript has 3 exons. The record is from RefSeq and is a predicted model, not a curated record. Lineage: Eukaryota; Metazoa; Chordata; Mammalia; Dasyuromorphia; Dasyuridae.
AAAGGCCGGGCGCCACCCCAGGCGUCCCUAGCCCGUCAGGCUCCCCUCCGCAGCCACUCCCUUCCAGCCAUUUCUCAGAGUCGGCCCCCUCGCUGCCCAUUAACCCGUCUGAUAGCUCUGUCAGCCGCUGAUGGAGAUGAGAGAGCCUGGGCCGUUUCCAAAAAUGCCCGGCUCUGUUUCACCGACGCUGUCCCCCUCAGCGAGCAGCGGCAGGGUGGGGGCUCCGGGCUAGAAGGAGGCGUAGCCAGCCAACUUGGGCCUCAAAUGCCCAGGGUUAUAGUCUAAUGCAAAUAGAAGGUCACUCCUCAAAAAGAGGCAAAGCCGGGCAGCUUCGGCAAGGGUCCCAGAAAGCAAAGAGAAAGGGCCGCCCUUAUCUCGUUCCUGGGGAGAGAACAGUUCCUGACUAUGACAUCAGGAAUGGGUGGUUCUAAAGAAGGUCAUGGAAAAACCAUCUGUGAUGGAUAGAGGCCGCGGGAGUGGGGGCCUCUUAGAAGGAAGAAAGACGAAAAGAACAUACCUAAAGUCUCCUAAACACUGAUCUAGCAUGCAUCAACCUCAUCAUCAAUGUGGACAUCUCUGGAAAGUAUAUUGCCAAUAAAUGGCUCCCAUCAGGUGUCCAGUCACCAAAAUCAGGAUCCAGCUUCAGAUGGUUAGUAUCUGUGUGCCACCCAUAUUUCAAGCAUCACUAAUACAGCUGUUGGCAUGACUAAAAUCUAGCUUUGGGAACUCGGGUUCAAAACCUGUCUUACCAACUCUUCUCAUAAAUGAGAUCAGCAACCUUUUCUCCACAUCCCCUCACACCAUUCCCAAUCUCUCAUUCAUCAUCCUAAUUCAGACCAUCACCUUUUCAUAUUUCAUCUCCUUCAUUUUAAUCCCCACACCAUUCUCUUC